Molecule: ribosomal RNA, 416 nt
Filed under: uncultured microorganism
Description: bacterial SSU rRNA
Rfam family: Bacterial small subunit ribosomal RNA
Source: RNAcentral
GAGUUUGAUCAUGGCUCAGAUUGAACGCUGGCGGCAUGCCUUACACAUGCAAGUCGAACGGCAGCAUGAUCUAGCUUGCUAGAUUGAUGGCGAGUGGCGAACGGGUGAGUAAUACAUCGGAACGUGCCCUGUAGUGGGGGAUAACUAGUCGAAAGAUUAGCUAAUACCGCAUACGACCUGAGGGUGAAAGUGGGGGACCGCAAGGCCUCAUGCUAUAGGAGCGGCCGAUGUCUGAUUAGCUAGUUGGUGGGGUAAAGGCCCACCAAGGCGACGAUCAGUAGCUGGUCUGAGAGGACGAUCAGCCACACUGGGACUGAGACACGGCCCAGACUCCUACGGGAGGCAGCAGUGGGGAAUUUUGGACAAUGGCGAAAGCCUGAUCCAGCAAUGCCGCGUGUGUGAAGAAGGCCUCGGUU